RNAcentral lists this transfer RNA (74 nucleotides) under Pseudoscardovia suis. RNAcentral's name for it is "Bifidobacterium sp. DPTE4 tRNA". It matches the Rfam family "tRNA". Rfam says of the family: Transfer RNA (tRNA) molecules are approximately 80 nucleotides in length. Their secondary structure includes four short double-helical elements and three loops (D, anti-codon, and T loops). The record is from Rfam by way of RNAcentral. Lineage: Bacteria; Bacillati; Actinomycetota; Actinomycetes; Bifidobacteriales; Bifidobacteriaceae. RNAcentral also lists the same sequence under 2 other names.
GGGGCCGUAGCUCAGUCGGUUAGAGCAGCGUCCUUAUAAGACGUUGGUCCUGGGUUCAAGUCCCAGCGGCCCUA